Molecule: ribosomal RNA, 371 nt
Filed under: uncultured bacterium
Lineage: Bacteria
Description: bacterial SSU rRNA
Rfam family: Bacterial small subunit ribosomal RNA
Source: RNAcentral
AACGAACGCUGGCGGCAGGCUUAACACAUGCAAGUCGAACGAGAUCUUCGGAUCUAGUGGCGCACGGGUGAGUAACGCGUGGGAAUCUACCUUGGAGUCUGGGAUAACAGUUGGAAACGACUGCUAAUACCGGAUACGCCCUUAGGGGGAAAGGUUUACUGCUCCGAGAUGAGCCCGCGUCCAAUUAGGUAGUUGGUGAGGUAAAGGCUCACCAAGCCGACGAUUGGUAGCUGGUCUGAGAGGAUGACCAGCCACACUGGGACUGAGACACGGCCCAGACUCCUACGGGAGGCAGCAGUGGGGAAUUUUGGACAAUGGGCGCAAGCCUGAUCCAGCCAUGCCGCGUGAGUGAAGAAGGCCUCGGUUGUAAG